CUUCAUGGAAUCAUGCUAGAUUGGUGACAUUCGUGUUGCAGUUCUGUCUAAAUUUCUCCUGGCUUAACUGUGUCAAAGCAAUGUCUAGAUUU
Small nucleolar RNA from Brassica oleracea var. oleracea, 92 nucleotides. It matches the Rfam family "small nucleolar RNA snoR134". Lineage: Eukaryota; Viridiplantae; Streptophyta; Magnoliopsida; Brassicales; Brassicaceae. The record is from Rfam.